Molecule: ribosomal RNA, 1490 nt
Filed under: uncultured bacterium
Lineage: Bacteria
Description: bacterial SSU rRNA
Rfam family: Bacterial small subunit ribosomal RNA
Source: RNAcentral
AUGGCUCAGAUUGAACGCUGGCGGCAGGCCUAACACAUGCAAGUCGAACGGGUAACAGGGAAGCAGCUUGCUGCUUCGCUGACGAGUGGCGGACGGGUGAGUAAUGUCUGGGAAACUGCUGGAUGGAGGGGGAUAACUACUGGAAACGGUGGCUAAUACCGCAUAACGUCGCAAGACCAAAGAGGNGGGACCUUCGGGCCUCUUGCCAUCAGAUGUGCCCAGAUGGGAUUAGCUUGUUGGUGAGGUAACGGCUCACCAAGGCGACGAUCCCUAGCUGGUCUGAGAGGAUGACCAGCCACACUGGAACUGAGACACGGUCCAGACUCCUACGGNAGGCAGCAGUGGGGAAUAUUGCACAAUGGGCGCAAGCCUGAUGCAGCCAUGCCGCGUGUAUGAAGAAGGCCUUCGGGUUGUAAAGUACUUUCAGCGGGGAGGAAGGUGUUGUGGUUAAUAACCGCAGCAAUUGACGUUACCCGCAGAAGAAGCACCGGCUAACUCCGUGCCAGCAGCCGCGGUAAUACGGAGGGUGCAAGCGUUAAUCGGAAUUACUGGGCGUAAAGCGCACGCAGGCGGUCUGUCAAGUCGGAUGUGAAAUCCCCGGGCUCAACCUGGGAACUGCAUUCGAAACUGGCAGGCUUGAGUCUUGUAGAGGGGGGUAGAAUUCCAGGUGUAGCGGUGAAAUGCGUAGAGAUCUGGAGGAAUACCGGUGGCGAAGGCGGCCCCCUGGACAAAGACUGACGCUCAGGUGCGAAAGCGUGGGGAGCAAACAGGAUUAGAUACCCUGGUAGUCCACGCCGUAAACGAUGUCUACUUGGAGGUUGUGCCCUUGAGGCGUGGCUUCCGGAGCUAACGCGUUAAGUAGACCGCCUGGGGAGUACGGCCGCAAGGUUAAAACUCAAAUGAAUUGACGGGGGCCCGCACAAGCGGUGGAGCAUGUGGUUUAAUUCGAUGCAACGCGAAGAACCUUACCUGGUCUUGACAUCCACAGAAGAAUCCAGAGAUGGAUUUGUGCCUUCGGGAACUGUGAGACAGGUGCUGCAUGGCUGUCGUCAGCUCGUGUUGUGAAAUGUUGGGUUAAGUCCCGCAACGAGCGCAACCCUUAUCCUUUGUUGCCAGCGAUUAGGUCGGGAACUCAAAGGAGACUGCCAGUGAUAAACUGGAGGAAGGUGGGGAUGACGUCAAGUCAUCAUGGCCCUUACGACCAGGGCUACACACGUGCUACAAUGGCGCAUACAAAGAGAAGCGACCUCGCGAGAGCAAGCGGACCUCAUAAAGUGCGUCGUAGUCCGGAUUGGAGUCUGCAACUCGACUCCAUGAAGUCGGAAUCGCUAGUAAUCGUGGAUCAGAAUGCCACGGUGAAUACGUUCCCGGGCCUUGUACACACCGCCCGUCACACCAUGGGAGUGGGUUGCAAAAGAAGUAGGUAGCUUAACCUUCGGGAGGGCGCUUACCACUUUGUGAUUCAUGACUGGGGUGAAGUCGUAACAAGG